RNAcentral lists this ribosomal RNA (900 nucleotides) under Triticum aestivum (bread wheat). RNAcentral describes it as "partial small subunit ribosomal RNA". The record is from RNAcentral. Lineage: Eukaryota; Viridiplantae; Streptophyta; Magnoliopsida; Poales; Poaceae.
AUGGCCGGCCCCUCACCGUCGCCGUCCGCCAGCAGCCGCCGCCUGUCGGAGCUCCUGGAGGAGGAGCAAGAGCCGUUCUCCCUUCACCUCUACCUCCUCGAGAAGGGCUGCUCCCCCACCACCCUGGACGCGGCCGGAGGCUGCGGCGUUGCCUCCUUACCUUGCUGGCCGAGGAGCAGAGGCACCUCCCCGGCGCCGAGGCGGGUGACGGCCAGCAAGAGAACGCCCGCCACCGCCAGCGGCCUCCUCUCCAAGUUCCUCCGCGGCUCGGCGGCGCCUGCGUCCACGAAAAGAAAGAAGAGGCUGCGGUCGGCCGCCAUUGGCCCGUGCUCCGUCGAAGGCGAGAAGACGGCGAGCAAAAGAAAGAACGCCGUCGAGGCACACGGGGAUGAAGCAGAGGACGACGUGGGAGGAAGCUACGACGACGACGACUCGUCGAAGCAGCUGAGCCCCGUGUCCGUCUUGGAGCGCCCGCCAUUCGAGAAGCCACCGCGGGCGUACGCCGAGAAAGCCAUCGUCGUCUUGAGGGAGCUCCUGGACGCGGCACGCAAGCCCGCAUUGCUCCAGCGGAAAGUUGCCACAGAAAGCAGCAAGGCCGGCGAUGUCCUCAUGGAGACUUCAACAACGACGACGACGACGAUGGCGCACCCCGCACCGGCGCCCACGAGGACCGACCGUGCUGCCAGCGCUGCUGCACAUUUGGAGGAGAUGUUUGAGGCCAGGGGGCACGACCUCGUACCGUUGGACAUGCCCGGCGAGAGAGGGGAUGCCCGGCUGGGGCGGUGGGACGUCGGCGCCGAGCUAGCGGUUGCGGUGCUGGAAGAGCUGACGGAGGAGGUGGUGGCGGAGCUGAUGGGGAUGGUCCACCAUGAUGAUGCCAAUGCCAUCGACGUGAAGUAG